UUAACUAUUUUAUAGUACUCAGACGACAUGUAAUACAGAGUUGUGGUCCUCUGGCGGGCACGAUCCAGCCGAAGCCGGUGCUUGUGCGGCCCACCAAAGCAACAAAUUGAGAUAAUCAAGGGUGAGAAGGACCGGUUUCCCGGCUUCAUUUUUAAUGAUCCUUCCGCAGGUUCACCUACGGAAA
RNAcentral lists this unclassified non-coding RNA (184 nucleotides) under uncultured fungus. RNAcentral's name for it is "sequence contains ITS1, 5.8S rRNA gene". Lineage: Eukaryota; Fungi. The record is from RNAcentral.